This 506-nucleotide ribosomal RNA is filed under the name uncultured bacterium. Its description in RNAcentral is "partial 16S ribosomal RNA". It matches the Rfam family "Bacterial small subunit ribosomal RNA", at positions 28 to 523 of the family's 1533-position model. The record is from RNAcentral.
GAUGAACGCUAGCUACAGGCUUAACACAUGCAAGUCGAGGGGUAACAAGAGAAAAGCUUGCUUUUCUUGUUGACGACCGGCGCACGGGUGAGUAACGCGUAUCCAACCUGCCUAUAACUAGGGAAUAACCUUGCGAAAGUAAGACUAAUACCCUAUGAUUUCCUUUGAUGACAUCAGAUUAGGAAUAAAGAUUUAUCGGUUAUAGAUGGGGAUGCGUCUGAUUAGCUUGUUGGCGGGGUAACGGCCCACCAAGGCAACGAUCAGUAGGGGUUCUGAGAGGAAGGGCCCCCACAUUGGAACUGAGACACGGUCCAAACUCCUACGGGAGGCAGCAGUGAGGAAUAUUGGUCAAUGGGCGGAAGCUUGAACCAGCCAAGUAGCGUGCAGGAUGACGGCCCUAUGGGUUGUAAACUGCUUUUAUACAGGAAUAAAGUUAGCCACGUGUGGUUAUUUGUAGGUACUGUAUGAAUAAGGACCGGCUAAUUCCGUGCCAGCAGCCGCCGUAA